Long non-coding RNA from Suricata suricatta (meerkat), 1786 nucleotides. RefSeq lists it as uncharacterized. The record is from RefSeq and is a predicted model, not a curated record. NCBI's taxonomy places the organism in Eukaryota, Metazoa, Chordata, Mammalia, Carnivora, Herpestidae. The transcript is spliced from 2 exons.
CUACUCUGUCUCAGUGUCUCUUUUUCUUUCUGUUUUUUUCUCCUGCUCUGUUUCAGUGUCUCUUUGCUCUUUGUUACUUUCCAUUUGAGCAUUCAUCUCUGUUUUAUUUCUUCUCUGCUUUUCCCCUUCUACUCAGCUUUGAGUAUUUUAGCUUCUUUGUGAGCCUAUAUUUUCCCCACUUUGACUUUAUGCAGUCCUCUCUCCUUGCAUAUUUUUGUGCAUUUGUAUGGUCAUGUGUGUGUGUUUGUGACAAAGGGGCUUCCUCACCCCUUCCCAAUAGGUACAGUGUGUCUGCUAUCAAAAUACACAUUGCAGAGCUGUUCAUUAUGCCAGGACACCUGUGAGAUGAUCUAAGUCCUAUGAUGGAUGGAAAGUGGAAAGCUUAUAAUGGACAGAAGGCCCAAAGUAAAAGAUGUUUUGAGACUUGAGACCUGAAGACAAAGAUGGAAAACCUGUCUCAAGAUAGAUGGAAACUUCAGACUUGAUACCAUUCAAAGUCCUGAUAGCCAUGAUGUAACAAGGUGGCCCUUGUUGGAUAGAAGACCUGAGUUGUAUGGGAAGUUCAAGAUUUGAGUUAGAUGUACGUCCAAAGACCCAGUGUAGGAGACCAAAGACCUAAAAAUGGGGACCCCUCGAAAGCCCAAGACAUAAGACACAAUGUAUAAGACCUGAGAUAAAAACUUCAGCUUGAAGAUCUAAGAUCUGAGGAUGGAAGGUCCCAGACACACAUAAAGACCCAGGACUCAAGCUUCUCUAGAAGGAUAGAAGGCCAAAGAGAGAAAUCUAUCUCAAGGCUAAAUUAGGUGGGGAGCUAGAAGCCCAUGACACAGAAUCUGAAAAGGAUGGAAGCCCCAAGACCAAAGGACAUUUUAAGAUGAGAACACUAAACUCCAGUUUUUUUCUAUUGCUAUCCUUCCUACUCUUGGACAUUUUCAGUUCUCCCUUGCCAGUUAGUAUGUUUUCAUUUAAGCCCACUUUUUUGAGAUGCCCUUUAUUUUAGGGAAACAUAUUUUUAGAUUGGCAAUAUUAUGCUUGGUCCAGACUUAAGCCAGUUUUUAUCACGGUUUUGGGCCAUUUCUUGUUUGUUUCUUAAGUUUUCAUUUAUCUUUCCUCCAAACCACUUGAGAGAGACAUAUAGGUAACAUUGUAUUUCAGUCCUCCUUUUUCUUUAGAAGCUAUAGGCUGAUGAGCAAAGGCAAGCAUCAGUCUAUCGUGGGGAAAAAAGGUGCCAGGCUAUCUAGAGAAAAUGUGAAGAGAUGUUCCAGGCCAAUGAGAAGAACUAGACAAGAAAUAUCCAGAUUUGCCAGCCUGUUGAAGCACCAGCCAGCAACACCUUACUUCUUUGAGCUUGUUCCUGGCAUCCUAAGACUACUGCUACUGAUAAGAAUAAGAACGUGUUAUCAUCUGAAUUUUUAUGGCAUAAAUGAAAUUAUGAACAAAUACAUUUUUAAAUGAAAUGACUUCAUCUCUACCCUUCUACGUAAAAGAGAAUCGAUGCCAAGUGCUCCAAUAAAUGGAAAGAUUACCAUUGACUUUUGAACUGAUGUGAAAAUGCAGAAUCUUUGAUCUUUGAGUGUUUUGAAGAUUGAAAAAUCUUGCUUAGCAUGGGUGACCACCAAAAGCAAUCUAAAACCAUCUGCAUGUCACAACAGACAAAUUGGGAAAUGUGUUGUCUACUGUCAAAUAAAAUGUACUGCUUUGAAAAUUUUGUAUUUGCAACAAGUUACCUCACUGUACCUAGGUACACUUAUUUUUUUUAUUACUUAAAUUACCCAGUUUAGAUAAA